Long non-coding RNA from Papaver somniferum (opium poppy), 423 nucleotides. RefSeq lists it as uncharacterized. The record is from RefSeq and is a predicted model, not a curated record. The transcript is spliced from 4 exons. Lineage: Eukaryota; Viridiplantae; Streptophyta; Magnoliopsida; Ranunculales; Papaveraceae.
CCCGUCGUGAUGAGGGAGAAGGGAAAGAAGUGGAGUCAACCACGGGGUUUAUGAAAAAGGAGCGUGUCUGGGACUAUCCUCCUAAUCCGUAUGGGAUGAGUGGGUACGAUUUCUUCUCAUUCGGCAGGACAGGCGGUGAAGUAACUGAUGCAUUGGGCAAACCAGGUCAUUAUCUGUGGUAAUAAUAUGAUUAAAGAGGACUAACAUGAAGCAGAAUUUCAUCAUAGUAUGUGUGUUUACGAUCUUUAACUAAUGUUUGUCUUUUUGCAUGUAAGAUAAUGGGAUGUUCCUAUGAGUUCUUAAUGUGACACUGGUUAUAUGUUGGUACUUAUGUUCGUAUUUAGAAGGGUAUGUUUAUUUGCAUGAAUAUCCUGGUCUAUUUGCUACCCACUUUUCACAACUAAUUUAGCUCUUUUGGUAUGA